Molecule: ribosomal RNA, 229 nt
Filed under: uncultured bacterium
Lineage: Bacteria
Description: partial 16S ribosomal RNA
Rfam family: Bacterial small subunit ribosomal RNA
Source: RNAcentral
UACGUAGGCGGAAAAUUAAGUCAGUAGUGAAAUCCUGCAGCUUAACUGUAGAACUGUUAUUGAUACUGGUUUUCUUGAAUAUAGUUGAGGUAGGCGGAAUGUGUAAUGUAGCGGUGAAAUGCUUAGAUAUUACACAGAACACCGAUUGCGAAGGCAGCUUCCUAAGCUAUGAUUGACGCUGAGGUACGAAAGCGUGGGGAGCGAACAGGAUUAGAUACCCUGGUAGUCC